Hemiscyllium ocellatum (epaulette shark) is the source of this 370-nucleotide long non-coding RNA. RefSeq lists it as uncharacterized. The transcript has 3 exons. The record is from RefSeq and is a predicted model, not a curated record. NCBI's taxonomy places the organism in Eukaryota, Metazoa, Chordata, Chondrichthyes, Orectolobiformes, Hemiscylliidae.
GUCCCUGACUCAGCAGAAUUCCCAAUUCCUUCUCGUCCAUCACCACAUUGAAGCUGGUUGGUCAGCCAGAGAGAGAUGGAGAGUGAGAUCUGGAGCCUUCAGUAAAUCCUGCAGCCGGUACUCAGGAGGUUCCUGAAUCAAUAGACUUCCCAACUGCUGUGUGUCUCAUCCAUCACCUCAUUGAAGAUGGUUGGUCAGCCAGGGAGACAAAGGGCAGGGAGAUCUGGAGCCUUCAAUAAAUCCUGCAGUGAGGUAAUCAGGAUGUUCCUAACUCCUGUCUCAUCCAUCACCUCAUUGAAGCUGGUUGGUCAGCCAGAGAGAGAGAGAGAGAUAGAGAGAGGGAGACCUGGAGCCUUCAGUCAAUCCUGCA